GCCGAAGUAGCUCAGUUGGUAGAGCAUCCCGCCUGUAGCGGGAAGGUCGCGGAUUCAAUCCCGGUCUUUGAUC
This 73-nucleotide transfer RNA is filed under the name Niabella drilacis. It matches the Rfam family "tRNA". From Rfam's summary of the family: Transfer RNA (tRNA) molecules are approximately 80 nucleotides in length. Lineage: Bacteria; Pseudomonadati; Bacteroidota; Chitinophagia; Chitinophagales; Chitinophagaceae. The record is from Rfam by way of RNAcentral.